This 1722-nucleotide long non-coding RNA is filed under the name Taeniopygia guttata (zebra finch). RNAcentral describes it as "lncRNA (ENSTGUG00000026371.1)". The record is from RNAcentral. Lineage: Eukaryota; Metazoa; Chordata; Aves; Passeriformes; Estrildidae.
CAAGAUCACAGCCAUGACUUUUAUUAUUUCAUUUUUUAGAUUCACUUAAUAGUGCUAAUUGUUAGAUUUAUGAGUUAUUUGAUUAUAGCCUCUGGAUCCUGCUAUGCUGAGCUUGAUUUUAUCAAGCAGAAAAACAACCAAUCAGGUACAUUAAGGAAAUAAAAUGACAGAAAAUUAUUUCUGAUUAAUACUGUUGUUUCCCAUUUGUGAGAGUUUUCCUAGUUUGGAAAGAAGAUAAGCAGUGAGGGAAUUUUCAGUAGUCUGGGGUACACAAAAGCAUUACAAACUUCAAGCCAGCUUUUCCAAAUUUUCUGAAAGAGUGCCUGCCCACGCUCUCCCAGAUUUUUGGUUCUUCUUUUUCUGACUCAGAUGCCUUCCUGUGAACCUCCUUUUGUCCCUGUGCUCCUCCUGAGCUGGCAGAAGCUCAGUUCCCUCAGGUUAGGAAAGGAAGAACAGUCUGUCAUUACUGGAUGCAAGCAUAAGCAUUCAUUUCCUCACCAGGCAAAGUACUACACUGCUGCCAACUAACUCUACGUUUUCCAGUAUUUUGUGAUUUCCUCUCAACCUUUCAUUGGCUUCUCCUUCAAACCUCUUCAUGGCUCCUUACUGAUGGUAACCAGAGCUGGAAAAAGGCGGCUGUGAGGUGAGUGUGAGAAGAAAGGUGCACAGAUGUAAUGGUGAAGGAUGUUUGUGACUUGGCAGAAGAGACCGAGUUCAAGGGCACAGGUGGCAGCACAAGUGAAAGCAUUCACGGGUGCCAACAGCUCCCCAUGAGGAGUAUCCGGGCACACACAGCACCGCCAGGCAGUGCCACAGCCUGAUUCUCAGGACUCCAAGAAACAGAGUGACUAAUUUCAGAGAAAGGCUGUGUGUUUACAGAGCAAUCAGGAAGUCUAGAGCAAGUUUAUAAAAGGAUCAGAUUUGUCAAGAGACUAACACCUGGGAAAAUGUAUCAAAACCACUCCUCAAUACACUAGAAAACUGGACAUCUUACUCAUCAACCUUAUUCUGUUUCAUUCUUUGGUCUUCUGCCUCUGAGACAGUACUUACUAUGGGAUCUCAUUACCAAUAACUAAAAUAAAAUAUUAAACAUAUAUUGCCUUUCUCAUGUGGUAAGGCUUCUACAAGGUCAUAAUAACAUAUUAUUGCCAAGCAGUUUUUACAAGACCUAUUAAACAGGUCAGUCUAUGAGUUGAAAACAAGCUAUUUAUUUAAGGUUCUCAGUUUGCACUGAGUGCCUUUUCACCUCAUUAUAUGGCUGUGUUUCUGACCCUGGUUUGCAGUUUUAUAGAGAACAGCAUGGGCUCAAGGGCAAAUAAAACAAUGACUGCUUUGGUACACUCCCAUGUAAAGAGUUCUUUUGUUAGGAGGCAGCUACUAAAACUUGACAAUCUUUAUCAUAGGAAAGUAAGCAUAUGGAAGCACAGGAAAACAUAUAAGCUAAGGAAAAGUGACUUUUGUGUCCAAUAUUUUUCCUAACUCACGCAUUUUUACUGGAGAAAAAGAAGGAAUGGGCAGUCUCACACAACUUGCACCAGGCUUUUGAACAGAUGCAUUUCAUAAACUGAAAGAAAUGGUGCAACAUUUUCCUAGUGUUGGACCAAGGGCUCUGAUCCAACAGACACAGGGCUUUUUCCAUUCAGCAGGUAGGGAGAGAGUGCUUAUUACACAUGUCAUCUUUUUCCCAUGAAAAAUAUGUAUUCUGAAUUAGUAGGUAAGAAA